CACAUGCGUCGAACGAUGACGGCCGUGCUUGCACGGUCUGAUUAGUGGCGAACGGGUGAGUAACACGUGAGUAACCUGCCCUCCACUUCGGGAUAACCUCGGGAAAUCGUGGCUAAUACCGGAUAUGAGCACUCAUCGCAUGGUGGGUGUUGGAAAGAUUUAUCGGUGGGGGAUGGACUCGCGGCCUAUCAGUUUGUUGGUGAGGUGAUGGCUCACCAAGACGAUGACGGGUAGCCGGCCUGAGAGGGCGACCGGCCACACUGGGACUGAGACACGGCCCAGACUCCUACGGGAGGCAGCAGUGGGGAAUAUUGCACAAUGGGCGAAAGCCUGAUGCAGCGACGCCGCGUGAGGGAUGACGGCCUUCGGGUUGUAAACCUCUUUCAGUAGGGAAGAAGCGAGAGUGACGGUACCUGCAGAAGAAGCGCCGGCUAACUACGUGCCAGCAGCCGCGGUAAUACGUAGGGCGCAAGCGUUGUCCGGAAUUAUUGGGCGUAAAGAGCUUGUAGGUGGCUUGUCGCGUCUGCCGUGAAAACCCGAGGCUCAACCUCGGGCGUGCGGUGGGUACGGGCAGGCUAGAGUGUGGUAGGGGAGACUGGAACUCCUGGUGUAGCGGUGAAAUGCGCAGAUAUCAGGAAGAACACCGAUGGCGAAGGCAGGUCUCUGGGCCAUUACUG
RNAcentral lists this ribosomal RNA (677 nucleotides) under Brachybacterium sp. K473. RNAcentral's name for it is "bacterial SSU rRNA". It matches the Rfam family "Bacterial small subunit ribosomal RNA", at positions 52 to 742 of the family's 1533-position model. Lineage: Bacteria; Bacillati; Actinomycetota; Actinomycetes; Micrococcales; Dermabacteraceae. The record is from RNAcentral.